Molecule: ribosomal RNA, 560 nt
Filed under: Mustela putorius (European polecat)
Lineage: Eukaryota; Metazoa; Chordata; Mammalia; Carnivora; Mustelidae
Description: partial 16S ribosomal RNA
Source: RNAcentral
GUUGCCCAGAACAGAAUCUCAGUUCAACUUUAAAUUUACCUAAUAACCCCCAAAUUGUAAUGUAAAUUUAAAAUAUAGUCUAAAAAGGUACAGCUUUUUAGAAUAAGGAUACAACCUUGCUUAGAGAGUAAAAUUAAACAAAACCAUAGUAGGCCUAAGAGCAGCCACCAAUUAAGAAAGCGUUCAAGCUCAACAAUACAGCCACCUUAAUCCCUAUAAUCAUAUACAACUCCUAACACACUACUGGGCUAAUCUAUUUUAUAAUAGAAGCAAUAAUGCUAGUAUGAGUAACAAGAAACAUUUCUCCUUGCAUAAGCUUAUAACAGUUAACGAAUACCCACUGAUAGUUAACAACAAGAUAAAGAUAAACCACUAAUAAAUAUUCUUAUCAAACCAAUUGUUAGUCCAACACAGGCAUGCAACAAGGAAAGAUUAAAAGAAGUAAAAGGAACUCGGCAAACUCAAACCCCGCCUGUUUACCAAAAACAUCACCUCCAGCAUAUCUAGUAUUGGAGGCACUGCCUGCCCAGUGACACUAGUUUAACGGCCGCGGUAUCCUG